GUAUAAUAUAAGUGAUUAUUCAGCAAUUGAACUACAAUUGGCUGAUUGUGUUGAUAACACGUGCUCACACCCUUUUUCUUGUUUCUGGCCACGUAUCAAAACCUCUGUACACCUCUCUUUUAUUUUCUUUUCAGACCCUAUUCCUCAUUCUCUUCAUCUCCUUAAUCCGCAAAUAUAAUCCCUCAUUCCUUUUCUUUUCUUGAAUCACCGUCCUCCUCCACUGUUCGGAAUCCGGCACCGCCGAACCUCCUCGCUUGUCUCCGCGGCUAUCAAAUCGCCACUGUACUGCCACCGCUCCGCUGCCUGACGAAGCAAGUAUCACCGUGGUUCUGCUCGCUUUCCGGUCACCUCAAAUCUAUUCCUCAAAGCCAGGCACUGUUCCUUGUUUCUUCGGUCCAUUGAUUUUCUGUUUCCGGUCAGCAAUUCACUCUAUUCAGUAAUCAUUCUGAUUGAGUACAUCUCCUCCCACUCAUCUCUCAGUUAUAUAUAUGUAUGUAUAUGUGUGAAUUGUUGGGAUUGUGCCGAGAUUGAAUCAGUGGGCUUAUUUCAAAUUAGUUAAUAUAUACACAAGCAAUCACAGGGAUAUGGGUUAUUGCUAAUUGUUAUAUGUUAGCUAAAGCCAAGGUUUAGGAAUGUUGAUAUGAUUGCAAAUCGGUUGAAUAUUACUGUUCAAUCAGCCUGUGAGGCUAUGGAGAUGAGUGUUUAAUUGGUUUGAAUAUCAAUAUAUAAGUAAAAUCACGUUAAUUCUAUUCAAAAGGAUUGUGAGUAAUUAGUUAAGUAAUUUAUGAAUUCUAGAUUAUGUGGGAUUGUUUGUCCUUAAGUGCAUACUUGUUUAUGUUUAUAUGUGAAUAGCUAUUAAGUUGAAUUGGUUUUGUUUAGUCUUUAAUUGAGUAACAACAUGUGGGUAUUUAAAAACUAGCCUUCUCUAAAAGAAACUGAAAUACUGGUAUAUGUGUAGAUAUGUUGAAAAGAUGGUAUUUUAAAUAUUUAGAUUAAAUCAUAUGGUGUCCCUGUGUAAUAUUGGCAUAUGUUAUGAUUUGAAAAUCUAAAAUAUUUAAAGCUUAGUUUAUAAACAGUUAAGUACUUUGAAAAAGAUUAGUUUAUUCUGAUUUUGUACAACUAAAUUGGGAACUAAAUUAAAAAGAGUUACUAAACUAAAUUGGGAACUAAACUAAAAAGGUAAAUGGGAGCAUACAAUGAAUUUGAUUUAAACUUGGUUUUGUUAUAAGUUCAGCUUGUGAGAUUAAGCAGCCAAGCUUUAAGGUAAAAAAAUCAGAGAUAUUGGCACUUUUGUCUAAAGUAUUUUUAUUAUUGAGAUUAUACGAGGAUUAAGAAGGUUGAGGUUUGAUUAUAUACUUAUAUAUGCCUCGAUUUUCGGGUAUAUGUGAUUAUAUAAUUAAAACCUUUAUUUUCUUAUAGUAUGCAGUUGAUGAUUUUGGGAUUUGGACUAUCGAUAUUGACUAUACGAGGAUUAAGGAAUUUAAGUUCUUAGUUAUGUAUAUAAAUAUACUUCGACUUUCUUGAGGUAUAUCUGUAUAUAUGAUUAAAAAGUUUGUUCCUUAUAGUAUAAAGUGAUAUAUGGAUUACUAAAGUUAUAAUUAUGUUCGGAGUAUUGUUAGUCGACGGUUGUUGAGUUGUUGGGUUGUAAACUUGUUGGAAUGAUUAUUGGCACUAGACUAAAAAACAGGUGGAUAGUCCGAUAAAUAGAGGAAAUGCUGCCGAAUUUUCGUUAGAAAUUAUAUAUAUUCUACUUGUUAAAGAAUAUUAAAUAUUUAAGAAUAACGCGACAUUGUUAACUGAAACAUGUUAUAUGUUAGCUUAUCGAUAUUGACUUUUAAUAGUUAUAAAAGUUAAUUGUUCAACUAUGUGCUAUGUGUUUAUCUGACUAUGUAGUAUGUAUAUGGAUUUACGGAGGGUAGCUAAUUGCGGAUUUUAAACGUUAUUCGAUAUUAGUGUACUCCGUCGGCAUCGACAACUGAAGUACUGUGUUACUCUUGGAGAAUAAACAAAGACUUGUAUAUCAAGGACAUUCAGAACUAGUUGAAUAGCUUUGCGAAUUGAAUCAGCAAUAGUUCCUUAAGACGAAGCUGUGCUGUGGGAUAGUCUGGUAGAAUUUAGUUGGUGUGAAAAUCAGCAGAACUGAGGCAAGUAUUCCUAUCUUCACUUAUUGUUCAAGUGAUAUUUUCUUUAAACCCUUAUGCAAGUAAUUCUAUUCUCAACUUGUAAUUACUGCAAGUCUUCCUAUUCAAACUCAAUAUUUAGAAGCAAGUGCUCCUUUCUUAAAACUUUUACUUAUUGCAAAUGCAUGACUUNCUAUUCAAAAGGAUUGUGAGUAAUUAGUUAAGUAAUUUAUGAAUUCUAGAUUAUGUGGGAUUGUUUGUCCUUAAGUGCAUACUUGUUUAUGUUUAUAUGUGAAUAGCUAUUAAGUUGAAUUGGUUUUGUUUAGUCUUUAAUUGAGUAACAACAUGUGGGUAUUUAAAAACUAGCCUUCUCUAAAAGAAACUGAAAUACUGGUAUAUGUGUAGAUAUGUUGAAAAGAUGGUAUUUUAAAUAUUUAGAUUAAAUCAUAUGGUGUCCCUGUGUAAUAUUGGCAUAUGUUAUGAUUUGAAAAUCUAAAAUAUUUAAAGCUUAGUUUAUAAACAGUUAAGUACUUUGAAAAAGAUUAGUUUAUUCUGAUUUUGUACAACUAAAUUGGGAACUAAAUUAAAAAGAGUUACUAAACUAAAUUGGGAACUAAACUAAAAAGGUAAAUGGGAGCAUACAAUGAAUUUGAUUUAAACUUGGUUUUGUUAUAAGUUCAGCUUGUGAGAUUAAGCAGCCAAGCUUUAAGGUAAAAAAAUCAGAGAUAUUGGCACUUUUGUCUAAAGUAUUUUUAUUAUUGAGAUUAUACGAGGAUUAAGAAGGUUGAGGUUUGAUUAUAUACUUAUAUAUGCCUCGAUUUUCGGGUAUAUGUGAUUAUAUAAUUAAAACCUUUAUUUUCUUAUAGUAUGCAGUUGAUGAUUUUGGGAUUUGGACUAUCGAUAUUGACUAUACGAGGAUUAAGGAAUUUAAGUUCUUAGUUAUGUAUAUAAAUAUACUUCGACUUUCUUGAGGUAUAUCUGUAUAUAUGAUUAAAAAGUUUGUUCCUUAUAGUAUAAAGUGAUAUAUGGAUUACUAAAGUUAUAAUUAUGUUCGGAGUAUUGUUAGUCGACGGUUGUUGAGUUGUUGGGUUGUAAACUUGUUGGAAUGAUUAUUGGCACUAGACUAAAAAACAGGUGGAUAGUCCGAUAAAUAGAGGAAAUGCUGCCGAAUUUUCGUUAGAAAUUAUAUAUAUUCUACUUGUUAAAGAAUAUUAAAUAUUUAAGAAUAACGCGACAUUGUUAACUGAAACAUGUUAUAUGUUAGCUUAUCGAUAUUGACUUUUAAUAGUUAUAAAAGUUAAUUGUUCAACUAUGUGCUAUGUGUUUAUCUGACUAUGUAGUAUGUAUAUGGAUUUACGGAGGGUAGCUAAUUGCGGAUUUUAAACGUUAUUCGAUAUUAGUGUACUCCGUCGGCAUCGACAACUGAAGUACUGUGUUACUCUUGGAGAAUAAACAAAGACUUGUAUAUCAAGGACAUUCAGAACUAGUUGAAUAGCUUUGCGAAUUGAAUCAGCAAUAGUUCCUUAAGACGAAGCUGUGCUGUGGGAUAGUCUGGUAGAAUUUAGUUGGUGUGAAAAUCAGCAGAACUGAGGCAAGUAUUCCUAUCUUCACUUAUUGUUCAAGUGAUAUUUUCUUUAAACCCUUAUGCAAGUAAUUCUAUUCUCAACUUGUAAUUACUGCAAGUCUUCCUAUUCAAACUCAAUAUUUAGAAGCAAGUGCUCCUUUCUUAAAACUUUUACUUAUUGCAAAUGCAUGACUUNGUAUACUUCCUAUGGAAUAAACCCUUUCUUAAAAAUGUAAUUCUUUAGAACUGGGAAGUAAAAACUCAGAUAUAAUUGGAGUUGCGUAAGAGGACCGUUAUUUGAUAACGGCCCAGCCUAUUUGUUUGCGUAAGAGGACCAUUGUAAGGCAAUGGCCCAGCGUUAUUUGAAGACGUAGCUAGUCUUCAGUUCCGGAACAUGUUAUUUCAGGGCAAUGCGUA
This 4101-nucleotide long non-coding RNA is filed under the name Daucus carota (carrot). RNAcentral describes it as "long non-coding RNA (DCAR_LNC001765)". The record is from RNAcentral. Lineage: Eukaryota; Viridiplantae; Streptophyta; Magnoliopsida; Apiales; Apiaceae.